This 1346-nucleotide ribosomal RNA is filed under the name uncultured bacterium. Its description in RNAcentral is "partial 16S ribosomal RNA". It matches the Rfam family "Bacterial small subunit ribosomal RNA", at positions 28 to 1381 of the family's 1533-position model. The record is from RNAcentral.
GACGAACGCCGUCGGCGGGCUUAACACAUGCAAGUCGAACGGAAAGGCCCUGCUUUUGUGGGGUGCUCGAGUGGCGAACGGGUGAUUAACACGUGAGUAACCUGCCCUUGACUUUGGGAUAACUUCAGGAAACUGGGGCUAAUACCGGAUAGGAGCUCCUGCUGCAUGGUGGGGGUUGGAAAGUUUCGGCGGUUGGGGAUGGACUCGCGGCUUAUCAGCUUGUUGGUGGGGUAGUGGCUUACCAAGGCUUUGACGGGUAGCCGGCCUGAGAGGGUGACCGGCCACAUUGGGACUGAGAUACGGCCCAGACUCCUACGGGAGGCAGCAGUGGGGAAUAUUGCACAAUGGGCGGAAGCCUGAUGCAGCAACGCCGCGUGCGGGAUGACGGCCUUCGGGUUGUAAACCGCUUUCGCCUGUGACGAAGCGUGAGUGACGGUAAUGGGUAAAGAAGCACCGGCUAACUACGUGCCAGCAGCCGCGGUGAUACGUAGGGUGCGAGCGUUGUCCGGAUUUAUUGGGCGUAAAGGGCUCGUAGGUGGUUGAUCGCGUCGGAAGUGUAAUCUUGGGGCUUAACCCUGAGCGUGCUUUCGAUACGGGUUGACUUGAGGAAGGUAGGGGAGAAUGGAAUUCCUGGUGGAGCGGUGGAAUGCGCAGAUAUCAGGAGGAACACCAGUGGCGAAGGCGGUUCUCUGGGCCUUUCCUGACGCUGAGGAGCGAAAGCGUGGGGAGCGAACAGGCUUAGAUACCCUGGUAGUCCACGCUGUAAACGGUGGGUACUAGGUGUGGGGUCCAUUCCACGGGUUCCGUGCCGUAGCUAACGCUUUAAGUACCCCGCCUGGGGAGUACGGCCGCAAGGCUAAAACUCAAAGGAAUUGACGGGGCCCCGCACAAGCGGCGGAGCAUGCGGAUUAAUUCGAUGCAACGCGUAGAACCUUACCUGGGUUUGACAUGGAUCGGGAGUGCUCAGAGAUGGGUGUGCCUCUUUUGGGGUCGGUUCACAGGUGGUGCAUGGCUGUCGUCAGCUCGUGUCGUGAGAUGUUGGGUUAAGUCCCGCAACGAGCGCAACCCUUGUUCACUGUUGCCAGCACGUUAUGGUGGGGACUCAGUGGAGACCGCCGGGGUCAACUCGGAGGAAGGUGGGGAUGACGUCAAGUCAUCAUGCCCCUUAUGUCCAGGGCUUCACGCAUGCUACAAUGGCUGGUACAGAGAGUGGCGAGCCUGUGAGGGUGAGCGAAUCUCGGAAAGCCGGUCUCAGUUCGGAUUGGGGUCUGCAGCUCGACCUCAUGAAGUCGGAGUCGCUAGUAAUCGCAGAUCAGCAACGCUGCGGUGAAUACGUUCCCGGGGCU